Molecule: non-coding RNA, 451 nt
Organism: Paramuricea clavata
Lineage: Eukaryota; Metazoa; Cnidaria; Anthozoa; Malacalcyonacea; Plexauridae
Source: the annotation of a GenBank genome assembly
UGAAAAAUACAUGACACAAAUGGGUAGAGAAUAUAUUCGUUACUUGUUUUCACUGCUGCAGUUAAACCUUCUUUUAAAUGGGAAAACAUUUAUUUUACAAUAUCUGUUUAAGCUGUAAUUUUUCCGCUUUUAAGUGGCCGAAUACAUGAGCAUUUAAAAAAUAUAUAGUUUUCUCGACGUAAGUUUUAUACAUGUCAAAUACUUUCCGACUUUCAGUCGCAUUUCUAUCAAAAUAUUGUCAAUUCCCGUGAACAUCGUGCUUAGUAUGAAGCCUUUAGGGCUUGAUGCAAUUCAUUUUCGUAUUCUGACUAUCGUUAGGCUAUGUUUUUCAAACGUUGUUGGCAGAUUUUUUCGUUUAAAAAUUGUUUCACUCCUCAGUUUUUGCCGCGAAAACCAGAGCGGGCAGUUGCAUUUCACAGCGGGCAGUUGCGUUUCAGAGCGGGCCGGAUGC